RNAcentral lists this transfer RNA (74 nucleotides) under Caudoviricetes sp. RNAcentral describes it as "tRNA-Gly". It matches the Rfam family "tRNA". From Rfam's summary of the family: Transfer RNA (tRNA) molecules are approximately 80 nucleotides in length. Their secondary structure includes four short double-helical elements and three loops (D, anti-codon, and T loops). The record is from RNAcentral. Lineage: Duplodnaviria; Heunggongvirae; Uroviricota; Caudoviricetes.
GCGGGUAUCGUUCAGUGGUAGGACCUCUGCCUUCCAAGCAGACGACGCCGGUUCGAAUCCGGCUACCCGCUCCA